CGCACGGGUGAGUAACACGUAUGCAAUCCACCUGUAACAGGGGGAUAACCCGGAGAAAUCCGGACUAAUACCCCAUAAUAUGGGCUCUCCGCAUGGAGGGUCCAUUAAAGAGAGCAAUUUUGGUUACAGACGAGCAUGCGCUCCAUUAGCCAGUUGGCGGGGUAACGGCCCACCAAAGCGACGAUGGAUAGGGGUUCUGAGAGGAAGGUCCCCCACAUUGGAACUGAGACACGGUCCAAACUCCUACGGGAGGCAGCAGUGAGGAAUAUUGGUCAAUGGUCGGCAGACUGAACCAGCCAAGUCGCGUGAGGGAAGACGGCCCUACGGGUUGUAAACCUCUUUUGUCGGAGAGUAAAGUACGCUACGUGUAGCGUAUUGCAAGUAUCCGAAGAAAAAGCAUCGGCUAACUCCGUGCCAGCAGCCGCGGUAAUACGGAGGAUGCGAGCGUUAUCCGGAUUUAUUGGGUUUAAAGGGUGCGUAGGCGGCACGCCAAGUCAGCGGUGAAAUUUCCGGGCUCAACCCGGAGUGUGCCGUUGAAACUGGCGAGCUAGAGUGCACAAGAGGCAGGCGGAAUGCGUGGUGUAGCGGUGAAAUGCAUAGAUAUCACGCAGAACCCCGAUUGCGAAGGCAGCCUGCUAGGGUGAACAGACGCUGAGGCACGAA
Molecule: ribosomal RNA, 663 nt
Filed under: uncultured Bacteroidales bacterium
Lineage: Bacteria; Pseudomonadati; Bacteroidota; Bacteroidia; Bacteroidales
Description: bacterial SSU rRNA
Rfam family: Bacterial small subunit ribosomal RNA
Source: RNAcentral